Molecule: transfer RNA, 75 nt
Filed under: Candidatus Portiera aleyrodidarum (primary endosymbiont of Bemisia tabaci)
Lineage: Bacteria; Pseudomonadati; Pseudomonadota; Gammaproteobacteria; Johnevansiales (SeqCode); Johnevansiaceae (SeqCode)
Description: tRNA-Ile(gat)
Rfam family: tRNA
About the family: Transfer RNA (tRNA) molecules are approximately 80 nucleotides in length. Their secondary structure includes four short double-helical elements and three loops (D, anti-codon, and T loops).
Source: RNAcentral
UGGGUCUGUAGCUCAGAUGGAAGAGCGCACCCCUGAUAAGAGUGAGGUCGGUAGUUCAAGUCUGCCCAGACCCAA